Armigeres subalbatus is the source of this 702-nucleotide long non-coding RNA. RefSeq lists it as uncharacterized. The transcript is spliced from 3 exons. The record is from RefSeq and is a predicted model, not a curated record. Lineage: Eukaryota; Metazoa; Arthropoda; Insecta; Diptera; Culicidae.
UCUCAACUAUAAAUAAAAUGUGUUGCGUGUAGACAUUAUUCCAUCUUUUUAUUCCUUCUGAAGAAGUACAUUGUGAUAUUUAAUUGGAAAUUGUGAUAUGAAAAUGAAAACAGUUUGCAAUAAGGGUUGGGUGUCGGAGCAAAAAACAAAGUGCCAUUUUCUUUUAGCUUCUCAUCUGGAGCUCGUCUGGGGCGGUGCUGUUUUCGAUUUAGCCGGACCGGAAUGCAAGGAAAAACACAUCCUCUAAACCAUUAUGGAAGUCAUCAAGAAUAUGAUAUUCAGCCAAGGCUACUCUCAUCGUUAUUUAAAAAUUAGGAUCAAAAACAAGAUCAAGGGAAAACUUAAUCAUAAGAGGUGCAGAGGUGGAAAGUGUAAUGAGAAUGUCCGCAAUAAUCCAGCACAGUAAUUAGGAAUGUAUCGUUCCACGACCUCGCAGGAGGAAAUCACCCAUUUCGAAUGCAUCCUUCAUCAAUAGUUUCCGUGGAAUCCAACUAAUUGUGAUAUAGUUUUAAUUUAACAUAUAUAAUUGAUGUUGUGUCUCCAGAUAAUGUGUUAAUCGAACGAAGUCCAUAAAUUGAAAUGUUAAAUUUUUUAUUUAAAUAUUUAAGUUUUAUUGUGUGUUAAAAUCAAAUUUAGUUUAAGUUAAAAUAACAUUAAGUUGAUAUUAUGUAGUACUACACACUUAAAAUAAAUCGCCGAAUU